GUCUAUGGCCAUGACACCCUGAACAAGCCCGAUUCCCGUCUGAUCUUGGAAGCUAAGCAGGGUCGGGCCUGGUUAGUACUUGGAUGGGAGACCACCUAGGAAGACCAGGUGCUGUAGGCG
Molecule: ribosomal RNA, 120 nt
Filed under: Pteropus alecto (black flying fox)
Lineage: Eukaryota; Metazoa; Chordata; Mammalia; Chiroptera; Pteropodidae
Source: RNAcentral